Labeo rohita (rohu) is the source of this 411-nucleotide long non-coding RNA. RefSeq lists it as uncharacterized. The transcript is spliced from 3 exons. Lineage: Eukaryota; Metazoa; Chordata; Actinopteri; Cypriniformes; Cyprinidae. The record is from RefSeq and is a predicted model, not a curated record.
UAUACCGUGCAGACCUCCUGCCUCAAAGCUUUGGUUUCUGGAAGACGGACUUAGACUCAUCCUGGUCGAAAGCUACUGGGAAGAUCACAGAUGUCCUCCCCGACCUGGUAACCUCAGCUGCUGCUACCUAUAUGGGAAGACAAGUCAUGAAGACUCGUUUGAUGUCCCUUCGGCUAAAAGAAUAAGCAGCCCAGCUAAAGAUGGUGAAUCUGUUGGACGGAGAACUGAUAAGGGCAUGUGGCUGACACAUACAACAUUGUGUCCGCUGGGCACUCAGGUACUGCUGAAGCUGCAUAAUUUUCUCAUUUCAUGUCAUAUCUAUACAUACAGCAAUUAUGAGCUUUAUAUAUCAAAAUAUGGUCUCAAUGAGAAUUUUAAUUAUGUAUUUAUUAAUUUGACCAUAAGUUAAAU